CCGCGGUAACACCGGCGGCCCGAGUGGUGAUCGUGAUUAUUGGGUCUAAAGGGUCCGUAGCCGGUUUGGUCAGUCCUCCGGGAAAUCUGAUAGCUCAACUAUUAGGCUUUCGGGGGAUACUGCCAGACUUGGAACCGGGAGAGGUAAGAGGUACUACAGGGGUAGGAGUGAAAUCUUGUAAUCCCUGUGGGACCACCUGUGGCGAAGGCGUCUUACCAGAACGGGUUCGACGGUGAGGGACGAAAGCUGGGGGCACGAGCCGGAUUAGAUACCCGGGUAGUCCCAGCCGUAAACGAUGCUCGCUAGGUGUCAGGCAUGGCGCGACCGUGUCUGGUGCCGCAGGGAAGCCGUGAAGCGAGCCACCUGGGAAGUACGGCCGCAAGGCUGAAACUUAAAGGAAUUGGCGGGGGAGCACAACAACGGGUGGAGCCCUGCGGUUUAAUUGGACUCAACGCCGGACAACUCACCGGGGGCGACAGCAAUAUGUAGGCCAAGCUGAAGACUUUGCCUGAAUCGCUGAGGAGUGGUGCAUGG
Molecule: ribosomal RNA, 534 nt
Filed under: uncultured archaeon
Lineage: Archaea
Description: bacterial SSU rRNA
Rfam family: Archaeal small subunit ribosomal RNA
Source: RNAcentral